Molecule: ribosomal RNA, 329 nt
Filed under: uncultured eukaryote
Lineage: Eukaryota
Description: partial 18S ribosomal RNA
Rfam family: Eukaryotic small subunit ribosomal RNA
Source: RNAcentral
CCCUUAGAUGUUCUGGGCCGCACGCGCGCUACACUGAUGCAUUCAACGAGUCUAAAACCUGCUCUGAUAGGGGUGGGUAAUCUUUUGAAUGUGCAUCGUGAUUGGGAUAGAUGAUUGCAAUUUUUCAUCUUCAACGAGGAAUGCCUAGUAAACGCAAGUCAUCAGCUUGCAUUGAUUACGUCCCUGCCCUUUGUACACACCGCCCGUCGCUCCUACCGAUUGAAUGAUCCGAUGAAUAUCAUGGAUUGAGGAUGUAAGCAGGUUCGCCUGUCUUCAUCUUCGAGAAGUGAAGUUAAUCUUAUCAUUUAGAGGAAGGAGAAGUCGUAACA